RNAcentral lists this ribosomal RNA (498 nucleotides) under uncultured bacterium. RNAcentral's name for it is "partial 16S ribosomal RNA". It matches the Rfam family "Bacterial small subunit ribosomal RNA", at positions 30 to 523 of the family's 1533-position model. The record is from RNAcentral.
AUUGAACGCUGGCGGCAUGCCUUACACAUGCAAGUCGAACGGUAACAGGUCUUCGGAUGCUGACGAGUGGCGAACGGGUGAGUAAUACAUCGGAACGUGCCUAGUAGUGGGGGAUAACUACCCGAAAGAGUGGCUAAUACCGCAUGAGAUCUACGGAUGAAAGCAGGGGAUCGCAAGACCUUGUGCUACUAGAGCGGCCGAUCGCAGAUUAGGUAGUUGGUGGGAUAACAUCCUACCAAGCCGACGAUCUGUAGCUGGUCUGAGAGGACGAUCAGCCACACUGGGACUGAGACACGGCCCAGACUCCUACGGGAGGCAGCAGUGGUGAAUUUUGGACAAUGGGCGAAAUCCUGAUCCAGCAAUGCCGCGUGCAGGAUGAAGGCCUUCGGGUUGUAAACUGCUUUUGUACGGAACGAAAAGCCCCGGGUUAAUACCCUGGGUUCAUGACGGUACCGUAAGAAUAAGCACCGGCUAACUACGUGCCAGCCGCCGCAGUAA